AGCACUUCUCUACCUUUUGGCUAAGAUCAAGUGUAGUAUCUGUUCUUGUAAGUUUAAUAUCUAUCUACCUACCUCCCUAUCAUCAGAUAUGAAAGUAGAGAAAGC
This 105-nucleotide small nuclear RNA is filed under the name Cebus imitator (Panamanian white-faced capuchin). RNAcentral's name for it is "U2 spliceosomal RNA (ENSCCAG00000014066.1)". The stretch from base 1 to 77 matches the Rfam family "U2 spliceosomal RNA". From Rfam's summary of the family: U2 is a small nuclear RNA (snRNA) component of the spliceosome (involved in pre-mRNA splicing). Complementary binding between U2 snRNA (in an area lying towards the 5' end but 3' to hairpin I) and the branchpoint sequence (BPS) of the intron results the bulging out of an unpaired adenosine, on the BPS, which initiates a nucleophilic attack at the intronic 5' splice site, thus starting the first of two transesterification reactions that mediate splicing. The record is from RNAcentral. Lineage: Eukaryota; Metazoa; Chordata; Mammalia; Primates; Cebidae.